GCGGAUGUGGUGAAAUUGGUAUACACGCUGGUUUUAGGUACCAGUGGCGCAAGUCGUGAGAGUUCGAGUCUCUCCAUCCGCACCA
Molecule: transfer RNA, 85 nt
Filed under: Gammaproteobacteria bacterium
Lineage: Bacteria; Pseudomonadati; Pseudomonadota; Gammaproteobacteria
Also listed under: 4 other names
Description: tRNA-Leu
Rfam family: tRNA
About the family: Transfer RNA (tRNA) molecules are approximately 80 nucleotides in length.
Source: RNAcentral